This 869-nucleotide unclassified non-coding RNA is filed under the name uncultured fungus. Its description in RNAcentral is "sequence contains 18S rRNA gene, ITS1, 5.8S rRNA gene, ITS2, 28S rRNA gene". Lineage: Eukaryota; Fungi. The record is from RNAcentral.
UUAUCGAGGCACACCGCGAAUACCUCGACGCCCUUCAAAGCCGAAACGAGGCCGUCAUCCAGGCAUGGCGCAACAGCCUCGAUCUCGAACUGUUAAAUCUGCCCGCUGCGCCGAAUUCGCCGGGCAAGGAGAUCGUGCACCCGAAAAGCACGCCAUGAACCGCAAUUUAAACGAUCACGGCUCUUCGCCUCCAGGCGACAAAUACGCCUUGACCAAUCCGUUUUCUAGCGCUGAGGCGAACGAAGUUUUCCGGGUCGCCGGGAUGGAUUGUUCCGAGGAAGUCGCGGCCAUCGAACGGGCCUUGAAGUCAUUGCCGGGAGUGCUCGGUGUGCGGGGGCGGAAAUCGUCGCCUCGAAGGUCACGGUUUUCCACGAUGGAAAACUCUCGCGCUCAGUUAUUGCCCAGGCCAUUAACAAGAGCGGCGUCACCGUCCCGGACGAGAAGCAGCGCGGCAGCCGUCCUUCUGCACCUACGAUCCUUGUUGCCACGUCCGGCAUUGCCACAGGACUUGGCCUGCUGUUGCAAUGGUUUGGAUUCAAGGACGGUUGGCAGCCGGAGGCCGCUUUUCUCGCCGCCAUCGUGACGGGCGGCUGGCUGGUUCUUCCGAAGGCCCUGCGUUCCUUGCGCUCAUUUUCCCUGGACAUGAACGUGCUGAUGACGGUGGCGGUGCUUGGCGCGGUCGCCAUCGGCGAGCACGCGGAAGGAGCUGCCGUCGCUUUCCUUUUCGCACUAUCCGAGCUCCUCGAAUCCUGGAGCGUCGGUCGCGCUCGCCGGGCCAUCGAAGCCCUGAUGGAACUCACCCCGGAUACUGCUCUUGUAAAACAGGACGGUGAGUGGCGCGAGGUCGCUGCCACAGUGGUGCAGCCCGG